Long non-coding RNA from Cyprinus carpio (common carp), 720 nucleotides. RefSeq lists it as uncharacterized. The transcript is spliced from 3 exons. The record is from RefSeq and is a predicted model, not a curated record. NCBI's taxonomy places the organism in Eukaryota, Metazoa, Chordata, Actinopteri, Cypriniformes, Cyprinidae.
GGAAAAACCAGUACUGAUUACCAGGGCCCCAAAGGAAGAGAGGGCCCUUGAAAAGUUGCGAGCAGGAACAGCAACAACACAUGUGAUGGUCUAACUCUCUGUCUGUCUAUAUCACAGCAAUAUUCAGAGGUUCAGUCUAUCAGGAGGCUUUACUGUGUGACUGGAUCUUCUCAGCACAGGUGAAUGCAUUUCUUUAGCUUGCUCAUUGUGAUGCAGUACUGGAAGUGUUUCAGAUGUUGACUCUGCACAGUCAGCGUCACCUGUAUGUGUAUUCUCUACUGUCUCUUUUGUUGUUAGCAGACUUCUCCGGUUUCUCCUCAGGAUCUGACCAUCUUCUGUCCUGACAGUGUAAGACCUUGGCUUCACCUCCUCCAGGACUGUGGCUCUUUUAGUCCAGGUAUUGGAAUCCUCAAGUCUUACUGUGUCAUUAUUGGAGAGUGGUUCUAGGCUUUUUGAUGCCUUGUCAUAGUUCGCUUUUUGUCUCAGUUUCAGGUUCUUUUGUUUUCUUUUCAGGUACUUUCUCUUGUUUUGUGUUGCCAAGCAUGGAAGUGUGGUUUGUGUGGUAAUCUGUGCCCCAUCAGUAUUUCAGCAGGAGACACACUGUGUUCUAGUGGAGAAGCACGGUAAUUCAGCAGAGCUAAAUAAGGAUCUGAUUGACUGUCCACUGCUUUCUUGAGUAGUAGUUUCACAAUGUGAACUCCUUUCUCUGCCUUUCCGUUC